Molecule: ribosomal RNA, 495 nt
Filed under: uncultured bacterium
Lineage: Bacteria
Description: partial 16S ribosomal RNA
Rfam family: Bacterial small subunit ribosomal RNA
Source: RNAcentral
GACGAACGCUGGCGGCGUGCCUAAUACAUGCAAGUAGAACGCUGAAGGAGGAGCUUGCUCUUCUGGAUGAGUUGCGAACGGGUGAGUAACGCGUAGGUAACCUGCCUGGUAGCGGGGGAUAACUAUUGGAAACGAUAGCUAAUACCGCAUAAGAGUAGAUGUUGCAUGACAUUUGCUUAAAAGGUGCAAUUGCAUCACUACCAGAUGGACCUGCGUUGUAUUAGCUAGUUGGUGGGGUAACGGCUCACCAAGGCGACGAUACAUAGCCGACCUGAGAGGGUGAUCGGCCACACUGGGACUGAGACACGGCCCAGACUCCUACGGGAGGCAGCAGUAGGGAAUCUUCGGCAAUGGACGGAAGUCUGACCGAGCAACGCCGCGUGAGUGAAGAAGGUUUUCGGAUCGUAAAGCUCUGUUGUAAGAGAAGAACGAGUGUGAGAGUGGAAAGUUCACACUGUGACGGUAGCUUACCAGAAAGAGACGGCUAACUACGUG